UAUUCGUUUUUUUUUUUAUUUAGAGAUAGAUAGUAUGCUAUUUGUUUCGUUUAUUUUAUUUAGAAAUAAAUUUAGUUAAAAAUAUGAACUAAUUAGGACUCGAAUUUGAAACCUCUUAUAACCAGCUAGUAAGCAAUUUGUCACUUACGGUAGAAACAGUCGGUAUCGAGAACUAAUUUGGUCCGCCGGUAUCGAGAACUAAUUUGGUCCGCCGUAUCAACAAAUUUUUUUUUUCAAAUAA
This 241-nucleotide long non-coding RNA is filed under the name Ananas comosus (pineapple). RNAcentral describes it as "long non-coding RNA (ACOM_LNC023810)". Lineage: Eukaryota; Viridiplantae; Streptophyta; Magnoliopsida; Poales; Bromeliaceae. The record is from RNAcentral.